GACGAACGCUGGCGGCGUGCUUAACACAUGCAAGUCGAACGGAAAGGCCCUGCUUUUGUGGGGUGCUAGAGUGGCGAACGGGUGAGUAACACGUGAGUAACCUGCCCUUGACUUUGGGAUAACUUCAGGAAACUGGGGCUAAUACCGGAUAGGAGCUCCUGCUGCAUGGUGGGGGUUGGAAAGUUUCGGCGGUUGGGGAUGGACUCGCGGCUUAUCAGCUUGUUGGUGGGGUAGUGGCUUACCAAGGCUUUGACGGGUAGCCGGCCUGAGAGGGUGACCGGCCACAUUGGGACUGAGAUACGGCCCAGACUCCUACGGGAGGCAGCAGUGGGGAAUAUUGCACAAUGGGCGGAAGCCUGAUGCAGCAACGCCGCGUGCGGGAUGACGGCCUUCGGGUUGUAAACCGCUUUCGCCUGUGACGAAGCGUGAGUGACGGUAAUGGGUAAAGAAGCACCGGCUAACUACGUG
RNAcentral lists this ribosomal RNA (468 nucleotides) under uncultured bacterium. Its description in RNAcentral is "partial 16S ribosomal RNA". It matches the Rfam family "Bacterial small subunit ribosomal RNA", at positions 28 to 507 of the family's 1533-position model. The record is from RNAcentral.